UACGUAGGAGGCGAGCGUUGUCCGGAAUUACUGGGCGUAAAGCGUGCGCAGGCGGUUCGUGAUGUCUGGUGUGAAAGCCCCGGGCUUAACCUGGGAAUUGCAUUGGAAACUAGCGGGCUGGAGUGUGGCAGAGGGGGGUGGAAUUCCACGUGUAGCAGUGAAAUGCGUAGAGAUGUGGAGGAACACCGAUGGCGAAGGCAGCCCCCUGGGCUAACACUGACGCUCAUGCACGAAAGCGUGGGGAGCAAACAGG
This 253-nucleotide ribosomal RNA is filed under the name uncultured bacterium. Its description in RNAcentral is "partial 16S ribosomal RNA". It matches the Rfam family "Bacterial small subunit ribosomal RNA", at positions 524 to 776 of the family's 1533-position model. The record is from RNAcentral.